GACGAACGCUGGCGGCGUGCUUAACACAUGCAAGUCGAACGGAAAGGCCCUGCUUUUGUGGGGUGCUCGAGUGGCGAACGGGUGAGUAACACGUGAGUAACCUGCCCUUGACUUUGGGAUAACUUCAGGAAACUGGGGCUAAUACCGGAUAGGAGCUCCUGCUGCAUGGUGGGGGUUGGAAAGUUUCGGCGGUUGGGGAUGGACUCGCGGCUUAUCAGCUUGUUGGUGGGGUAGUGGCUUACCAAGGCUUUGACGGGUAGCCGGCCUGAGAGGGCGACCGGCCACAUUGGGACUGAGAUACGGCCCAGACUCCUACGGUAGGCAGCAGUGGGGAAUAUUGCACAAUGGGCGGAAGCCUGAUGCAGCAACGCCGCGUGCGGGAUGACGGCCUUCGGGUUGUAAACCGCUUUCGCCUGUGACGAAGCGUGAGUGACGGUAAUGGGUAAAGAAGCACCGGCUAACUACGUG
RNAcentral lists this ribosomal RNA (468 nucleotides) under uncultured bacterium. RNAcentral's name for it is "partial 16S ribosomal RNA". It matches the Rfam family "Bacterial small subunit ribosomal RNA", at positions 28 to 507 of the family's 1533-position model. The record is from RNAcentral.